Molecule: ribosomal RNA, 279 nt
Filed under: uncultured bacterium
Lineage: Bacteria
Description: partial 16S ribosomal RNA
Rfam family: Bacterial small subunit ribosomal RNA
Source: RNAcentral
UGCCAGCCGCCGCGGUAAUACGUAUGGUGCGAACGUUGUUCGGAAUCACUGGGCAUAAAGAGCACGUAGGCGGUCUGGUAAGUCUGAUGUGAAAUCCCUCGGCCCAACCGAGGAACUGCAUCGGAUACUGCCGGACUCGAGUACAGUAGGGGAGAGUGGAAUUCCUGGUGGAGCGGUGAAAUGCGUAGAUAUCAGGAGGAACGCCCGUGGCGAAAGCGACUCUCUGGACUGUAACUGACGCUGAGGUGCGAAAGCUAGGGGAGCAAACGGGAUUAGAUA